RNAcentral lists this ribosomal RNA (480 nucleotides) under uncultured bacterium. RNAcentral's name for it is "bacterial SSU rRNA". It matches the Rfam family "Bacterial small subunit ribosomal RNA", at positions 8 to 496 of the family's 1533-position model. The record is from RNAcentral.
AGAGUUUGAUCAUGGCUCAGGAUAAACGCUGGCGGCGCACAUAAGACAUGCAAGUCGAACGGACCAAAACAAUAGUUUACUAAUGUCGAGGUUAGUGGCGGACUGGUGAGUAACACGUAAGCAACCUGCCUAACAGAGGGGAACAACAGUUAGAAAUGACUGCUAAUACCGCAUAUGCCUAAGUAUCGCAUGAUACAAUAGGGAAAGGAGAAAUCCGCUGAUAGAUGGGCUUGCGACUGAUUAGCUAGUUGGUAGGGUAGAGGCCUACCAAGGCAACGAUCAGUAGCCGAACUGAGAGGUUGAACGGCCACAUUGGGACUGAGAUACGGCCCAGACUCCUACGGGAGGCAGCAGUCGGGAAUAUUGCGCAAUGGAGGAAACUCUGACGCAGUGACGCCGCGUGCAGGAAGAAGGUUUUCGGAUUGUAAACUGCUUUAGACAGGGAAGAAGAAAGGACAGUACCUGUAGAAUAAGCUCCGG